GACGAACGCUGGCGGCGUGCUUAACACAUGCCAGUCGAACGGAAAGGCCCCUUUGGGGGUACUCGAGUGGCGAACGGGUGAGUAACACGUGAGUAACCUGCCCUUGACUUCGGGAUAACUUCAGGAAACUGGGGCUAAUACCGGAUAGGAAUCCUUGCUGCAUGGUGGGGGUUGGAAAGCUUCGGCGGUUUUGGAUGGACUCGCGGCUUAUCAGCCUGUUGGUGGGGUAGUGGCUUACCAAGGCUUUGACGGGUAGCCGGCCUGAGAGGGCGACCGGCCACAUUGGGACUGAGAUACGGCCCAGACUCCUACGGGAGGCAGCAGUGGGGAAUAUUGCACAAUGGGCGGAAGCCUGAUGCAGCAACGCCGCGUGCGGGAUGACGGCCUUCGGGUUGUAAACCGCUUUCAGCAGGGGCGAAGCUUGUGGUGACGGUACCUGCAGAAGAAGCACCGGCUAACUACGUG
RNAcentral lists this ribosomal RNA (465 nucleotides) under uncultured bacterium. Its description in RNAcentral is "partial 16S ribosomal RNA". It matches the Rfam family "Bacterial small subunit ribosomal RNA", at positions 28 to 507 of the family's 1533-position model. The record is from RNAcentral.